RNAcentral lists this ribosomal RNA (492 nucleotides) under uncultured bacterium. RNAcentral's name for it is "partial 16S ribosomal RNA". It matches the Rfam family "Bacterial small subunit ribosomal RNA", at positions 29 to 507 of the family's 1533-position model. The record is from RNAcentral.
AGUGAACGCUGGCGGUAGGCCUAACACAUGCAAGUCGAACGGCAGCACAGUAAGAGCUUGCUCUUACGGGUGGCGAGUCGCGGACGGGUGAGGAAUACAUCGGAAUCUACUUUUUCGUGGGGGUUAACGUAGGGAAACUUACGCUAAUACCGCAUACGACCUACGGGUGAAAGCAGGGGAUCUUCUGACCUUGCGCGAUUGAAUGAGCCGAUGUCGGAUUAGCUAGUUGGCGGGGUAAAGGCCCACCAAGGCGACGAUCCGUAGCUGGUCUGAGAGGAUGAUCAGCCACACUGGAACUGAGACGCGGUCCAGACUCCUACGGGAGGCAGCAGAGGGGAAUAUUGGACAAUGGGCGCAAGCCUGAUCCAGCCAUACCGCGUGGGUGAAGAAGGCCUUCGGGUUGUAAAGCCCUUUUGUUGGGAAAGAAAAGCAGCAGGUUAAUACCACGCUGUUCUGACGGUACCCAAAGAAUAAGCACCGGCUAACUUCGUG